Molecule: unclassified non-coding RNA, 1385 nt
Filed under: Helianthus radula
Lineage: Eukaryota; Viridiplantae; Streptophyta; Magnoliopsida; Asterales; Asteraceae
Description: partial external transcribed spacer
Source: RNAcentral
CUUUUUGUGCAUAAUGUAUAUAUAGGGGGGUGGUAGUACUCUUGGGGUAGACAGGCAUGUGCUGGGAUGGCAUGCCAAGGCAUGUGCUGGGAUGGCAUGCCAAGGACAAGCAUGUGCUAGGAAGGCAUGCCAAGGCCAAGGCAAGCACAUGCAUUGUGAGCGAGACGAGACGGUUACGAAUACCCCAAGAGUGCCCAAGGGAGAGGAAAGAGGUGUCAAACGCAUGCUGAGCCCCRCUUCGGUAGUUUGGCACCUGUACCAUAGGCAUUCUUGCCAACUCCCAUGGCAUUCAGGCAAGCGUGCCUAUGGGAAAAGUCGCUUGAGCUUGUCAACCAUGUUGGGUAUCGGCUGGACGAGAUGAUAGCACAAGGAUGCUUGCAAGGUAACGUUCUGGCAGCACAUCCAGCCUGCAAUUGCUAGUUCAAGCGGGUGGAAUCUGCCUAUAGGGGUGUUGCUUGCUUGCUGUGGAUUUGGGACACGCCCAAUAUCUAUCAUUGACCCAAUGAAGUGUUCAACAUGGGUUGCUGAGGGCUAUUUUGGCACUGAUGAUUCACUUGUUUGCAUGACUUUGAUAAACGUUUAGAUGUCAUGAUGCUUGGGAUCCAAUAAAUUUAUGUGGGAAGYUGAGAGCUGGAGCCCAAUGUCAUUCACCAGACGGCUUAGCUUCGUCAGYGUGUAUAAUAUGUCAUUGAACCCCAAUCCUUGAUGCCAACCUGAUUAUGACCUUUGGAUCGCAAUUAUCAUGGGUAUCGAAAACUGAGUAGGAGUCGUUGAAUAAGUGAGAACAAUUUGUAGCCUUUGUAGCCUUUGUAGCUGUCAGCUUUCGCAUCGCCCGGUGUGUUUUGGGAAUCGCUUUGUGCAUUUGGUUGCCUGUCGUGCCUCUUGGCAUACGUUGGGUGCCACUUGCCGGGUGGUUUUCGGAAACAUCCACCGUAAAGGUGCAUGAGUGGAGUUUGGUUUGUUACGGGUGGGUGGCUCUUUGCUUGCGCAACAACUGCCACCCGACUUACCUCUUCAGAUGUUUGCCUAGGCUUGUAUAGCCUAAGCAGAUUGUGGGUUUCCUGUGUUGCCUACCUACGUCACGGAAUUGUCCCGAUUGAUCAAAGUUGCUUUCGUCUKGUGUCAUCUCGAUGGCAUAAGAUGAACAAUGAAGCUGUCUCUUUGCACCGCAUCGUUAAUGCAUGCAUUGAUGUUGUGGCCCAUUGAGCAUUGCUUGGUACCUAGGAUACGGAACCGUAUGUGGGCAUGGGUCCUUGGGGAUCCUUGUUUUGCCCUUGUUUAGCGUUCGCGCUUCUCUUAGAAUGACUGCCCAGCCGGAAUGGUAAGCCAUUGUGGAUGGGCAUCGUCAAAGAGGAAUGCUACCUGGUUGAUCCUGCCAGUAGUCA